GCACCACAAGAGCGUGGAGUAUGUGGCUUAAUUCGACUCAACGCGCAAUAACUUAUUUGGUCCGAACGCUUUGAGGAUUGACAGUUUCUGGUACAAUGUGCGGCUUGUUUGUUACAACUGCGAAUGAUUCGAUUUGUUGUAAAUAUGACUUGACCGGCCUUCGGGUGUCUUGGAUGGGUCGUAUCAAGUCGUACAUUGUAUUCAAUGAGAAAGUUCUUUUAUGAUUAUGUGGUAGGUGGUACAUGGCCGUCUUUAAUUCGUGGAGUGAUCUGUCUGCUUAAUUGCGCAUUGCAAAUUGUAAUUAAUCUGGCUUGGAUGAUCGUUUGAUUUCGAUUUGAAUGCCAUUUCUUUUUUCGAGAAUGACUUGCCCUAAAGAUUGAUUAACACCGUGAGUGCAACGAGUGAGAUUGCGAGUCUUUGUUAUGUAGUGCUCAACAUACCUAUGUGCAGUAGGAUUUAACUACACCAUGUAACCUUUUUCAAAGGUUGAAUGAACUUAGGCGACUGCUAUACUUUUAAGAUGGUCGAAGGUUGUGGCAAUGACAGGUCU
Molecule: ribosomal RNA, 550 nt
Filed under: Turborotalita quinqueloba
Lineage: Eukaryota; Foraminifera; Rotaliida; Globigerinidae
Description: partial small subunit ribosomal RNA
Rfam family: Eukaryotic small subunit ribosomal RNA
Source: RNAcentral